This 417-nucleotide ribosomal RNA is filed under the name Triticum aestivum (bread wheat). Its description in RNAcentral is "partial small subunit ribosomal RNA". The record is from RNAcentral. Lineage: Eukaryota; Viridiplantae; Streptophyta; Magnoliopsida; Poales; Poaceae.
AUGCGUCGGAGGAUCGCUGGAAAGGCUGCGGCCACCGGUGACGGAGGAGUAGACCGCCUAGGCGCGCUCCCAGACGAGAUCCUCCAGCAUGCGCUGUCGUUCCUGCCGUCGCGCGACGCCGUGUGCACCUGCGUGCUCGCCCGCCGCUGGCGCCACCUGUGGAAGUCCGCCCCGGCCCUGCGGGUCACCGACGUCGACGCCUUCAGGAGCGCCCGCCACGUCAACGGCUUCGUCAACCACCUCAUCGUCCUCCGCGACCGGACGCCUCUCCGCGAGUGCGAGAUCGCCGCCUAUAAGGAAUACAAUGGCGGUGGGUACUACGACAGCAACGGAGAUCGCCGCGAGCACUCCCAAUACAUCGAUCUGUGUGGUCAGGUAUGCCUUGUCGUGCCACGCUCGGCUGCUUCAGAUCAGUGA